UGUUCCAAUUCUGCCUACCAAUAGAAAAAUUACCAUUACCAUCACCAGUAAAUGAUUGCCCAUGUUCCAACCUUUCAUCCUUCAAACCUAAGUGGCAUGAACCACCAUCACCAACACAAAUUGCCUUGAAAGUUCUACAACAGCUCUGGCAGCUAGGCUGGCAUAUUCUACAAACUCAUUCGCUGCUUGAGCAGCAGAGGUAGCAUCCUUAAAUUUCAUGUUCCAAUUCUGCCUGCCAACAAAAAUAUUACCAUUACCAACUCUAGGAAAUGAUUGCCCAUGUUCCAACCAUUCAUCCUUGAAACCUAAGUCCCAUGAACCAGCAUCAUCAACACAAUAUUGCCUUGAAAGUUCUAUAACAGCUCUGGCAGCUAGGCUUGCAUAUUAUGCAAACUCAGUUGCUGCUUGAGCAGCAGAGGUAGCAUCCUUAAAUUUCAUGUUCCAAUUGUGCCUGCCAACAGAAAAAUUACCAUCUCCAGGAAAUGAUUGCCCAUGUUCUAAACUUUCAUCCUUGAAACCUAAGUGGCAUGAACCACACUCCUCAACACAAUAUUGCC
RNAcentral lists this long non-coding RNA (557 nucleotides) under Nicotiana tabacum (common tobacco). RNAcentral describes it as "long non-coding RNA (NTAB_LNC013114)". Lineage: Eukaryota; Viridiplantae; Streptophyta; Magnoliopsida; Solanales; Solanaceae. The record is from RNAcentral.